GAGUGAAGCUCCUCAAAUAAGAAACCACUGAACAAAAAAGGGUUGGGCUGAAGCUCGUUUAGUAAUAAAUUUCCACUCACCUUCAUAAUUCAUUAUCUUAUUAUCUUCCCAUUUAUAGGUAGUUUAUGCAAUUCUUAUGGCACACCUCAACAUGGUUACAUGGGACAAGACAGGCCAAGCACCAAAACCUACUAUUUCCCCUGAUUCUGAUAGCUAACAUUUUGAGCCUCUCCUAGUGAGGGUGGAAAUCUAAAAUCAGCAAAUGGAAAUCACCUUGUGUUUAAACAUCUAAAUUAUUAACUAUAUCAGUGCCUCAGAGAACAAAAUGUAUAAUGUUUUUGAGGGCUCAGAGAAAGUAAAUUGGAAAAGCCUACUAAUAAAAAUAGACAAAUAUUUCCCUACUAUCUCUGUCAGCUUUAUUAUCCAGGGGAAGAUCCAGCAUUUUUUUCCCAGUUGAGUCAAUUUGUGCACCUACCUUGUAAA
Molecule: unclassified non-coding RNA, 483 nt
Filed under: Hevea brasiliensis (rubber tree)
Lineage: Eukaryota; Viridiplantae; Streptophyta; Magnoliopsida; Malpighiales; Euphorbiaceae
Source: RNAcentral